AAAAAAAAAAUCUAUUAAAAUAUAAUAAAAUAUAAAGCAUCAAUAUAUACUACUUAGCAAGUUGACCAACUACAAAUCAAACUGUGUUUCAAUCGAACUAUUAAUAUUAAAAACACGAAAAUAAAAACACUUUUACCAUUAUAUUCAUCGCUUCACUUUGAAUCUAAAAUACGAAUGAAUAAGGUUUUUAUGAGUUGGGUUAAGUGGUUGGUGCUGUUUUUGCACUAAUCUUAAAACAACCAUAGUACUUAAAUAUACGAAAAACUGUGUACCGUUGAGUGAAAAAAAUAAAGGAUUCUUAAGAGCGAAAUCUUGUAACAACAGCUUAAUUUAAGACCAUAUACAUCAGAAAUGUCAGAAUUUGUUGUAUUCACAAAUAACACCGAAAUGAUUUAGAUGUUCAUAAAAUCUACCAAUGGGAUAAUAGUGCACUAAAUUAUAUGUCGAGAGUACGUUUACAUAUAUUGUAAUAAAACCAAAGUCGUUAUGUCCAAGAUUCCAUAAAUGUUAAUUAAGUUUGAAGAAAUAAAAAUAAUAUAUUUGUAUACAAAACAAAUA
Molecule: long non-coding RNA, 558 nt
Organism: Aphis gossypii (cotton aphid)
Lineage: Eukaryota; Metazoa; Arthropoda; Insecta; Hemiptera; Aphididae
Exons: 3
Source: RefSeq, a predicted model, not a curated record